AGUUGAAGUUAUCAUGUUCCAGUAUUAUUUCACGGAGCUUUUAAUUCGCGCAUGUAAUAGCUUAUUGCCAAUUAUUUUUUAUUUUAUUCGAACGAUCUCCGAUAAUGGAUUUAAACGGAUACAGAUAAAUGGAUGAGGACAUGUGCUGGACCAACCAAAGGGAAGACAUACUAAAGGAGGGUUCCCCAGUUCCGGUCCUGGAGAGCCAGAAUUUAACACGGUUUGCAGAUUUUCCUGUUCAAACACAUACAACACCCUGUUUGAGCAGGAAAGACUGAAGCUGGUUUGACCCUCAGGCCUCCAACUGCCUUGGGGGACUUUAUUUGUUUAUAUGUUUAUUUGUGGCCCGGGCACAUUAGCUUUGUGCAAUCUAGGCAGAAGCCAGAAAGAGGUGAGUGACAGAUUAAAUAGAUCAUUGUCUGAAGGACAAGAUGUCGUUGCAUUUGUAAUGGAUCAUAUAAGGAACCAUAUUCAUUGCACAAGUUUAAUUUAAUAUUUUUUAUGUUUAUUUUGCACUUAAUUUGACCUUAGUUUAUAUACUUUUGUUAUAUGUAUUUACGGCUUGCGAGUAUGUGUGCCCCCUACAGGUUGAGAGGGAAACCGUAACGAUAAAAGACACUUACAUCCGAGGUCAGGGGCGUAGGUUUCAUAUUUCAAAAUUGGGCCCCCCAAUUUGGGGGGAUGUGUAUAUCGGGUCAGACGUUUGACUUAACGUUGCUUAUAUGACGUUUCUGUAGUCGCGCUGUAUUCCUUUAUUCGUUAAGCCUGCUCAGCCAGCAGUAGCGCUGGGUUUAUUCCGGUUUGAGGGAGUGCAGAUGGGACAUCAGCAUAAACCGCACGUCUCUCAGUUAAAAUGUGUAUGGAGGGUAUUUUCUUCCCCUCUGACUUUUUUCACUGACAAAAAGUCAGUUGUAAACCAGCAUUGCAUUGCCAACAGUGGGAUAUCGCAAAAGCAUUUUAUCCCCAAACUGAUAUAUCCUUUAUGUCACCAGCAGGUGUCACCAGAGGGCUGGGAUAAGUGUUUGCUUACCUUCUUCUUAAGCCAUUGAGGUAGAGCCCAGUCCUGCUGGUGCCCCACAUGCUGGGAAUGUCCCUCAGCUGCCUAAACAUGCCCAUGAGGUUCACCAUGACAAUGGCAGCCAGCGCAGUCUGCGGAGGCGGAGGUGAGAGUAAGGUAAGAGAUACAGACAGCAAGUUACUUCCCACAGUAAAUGUGCAUAUUGUACAAUGUGUCAAUAAAUGGAAAAGAGACACGUAAAAUUCCCCAGCAUCCAUAGCCAGGCAGCACUCAGCCAAUCACACCAAUUUGCUUGACUGCACUUAUUACUUUACACAGGGAAGUUUUCUCGAGGGCUUGCCAAUGACUUUCUUCCUGCUAUGGACGCGGUCAUGUGUCCUGUUCCAUAACCACCAUGCUGCAUGUCACCCUGUAAUAUCCUAGGUUAACAAGGCAGUUAUGCAUACUGGGGGCAAAGUGGUUACUAAGGCUAUGAAAACUACAACUGUCUGCUGAAUAAUUAAGCACGAACAUAAACACUGAGAACAUGAAUGUGAUUUUAAUAACGGUGUAGGUAAUCCCCCCCCCCCUCCUUCUCACGCCUUAUCCUGGUCAAAGUCCUGGCCUGGUACCUCUGGUUUAGGCAAUGAGGAAUGAGUAAAGAGUAACAUUCAGGUGCUGGAACUUUCCUGUUGUUCCUGAGGCAAUGACUGGAAUACUAAGCCAAUGGCCACUACCACAAUCAGCACCACAAUGGGUGCCAACAGGCGAACUGUCUGGGAAGAGACACACAAUAUGCACAUGCACGGGGAAACAGCCAUCUGGCAUUAAGCAAACAGCCGGAAGUACGGCUCAGUGCAGUGAUUAACUUCAUCUUAUCUUUAUGUCUUUACAGUUGUCAUAAGUCCACAAAUAAUGAGUGGCCACGUUUAUUCUGAGAUAAAAUUGAGAUGUCAAAUUCAUUACGCAGAAAAGCACAUUCCUUAAUGUGUAAAGAGAAUGUGAAACGCUACCUUUGUGAAUAUUCCCCCCCCCCCUCCCCCCACCUAUGUGAAUAUU
Molecule: long non-coding RNA, 2056 nt
Organism: Brienomyrus brachyistius
Lineage: Eukaryota; Metazoa; Chordata; Actinopteri; Osteoglossiformes; Mormyridae
Exons: 3
Source: RefSeq, a predicted model, not a curated record